This 335-nucleotide ribosomal RNA is filed under the name uncultured bacterium. RNAcentral's name for it is "bacterial SSU rRNA". It matches the Rfam family "Bacterial small subunit ribosomal RNA", at positions 335 to 672 of the family's 1533-position model. The record is from RNAcentral.
ACUCCUACGGGAGGCAGCAGUAAGGAAUAUUGCGCAAUGGGCGAAAGCCUGACGCAGCGACGCCGCGUGGGGGAUGAAGGUCUUCGGAUUGUAAACCCCUUUCGGCAGGGAAGAUGGAACGGGCAACCGUUCGGGCGGUACCUGCAGAAGCAGCCACGGCUAACUUCGUGCCAGCAGCCGCGGUAAUACGAAGGUGGCAAGCGUUGUUCGGAUUCACUGGGCGUACAGGGAGCGUAGGCGGUUAGGUAAGCCCUCCGUGAAAUCUCCGGGCCUAACCCGGAAAGUGCGGAGGGGACUGCUCGGCUAGAGGAUGGGAGAGGAGCGCGGAAUUCCCG